This 88-nucleotide transfer RNA is filed under the name Xylosma spiculifera. Lineage: Eukaryota; Viridiplantae; Streptophyta; Magnoliopsida; Malpighiales; Salicaceae. The record is from RNAcentral.
UUUUUUUUUUAAUUGACAUAGACUCAAGUCAUUUAGUAAAAUUUAAAAUUAAGAAGACGGCGCGUCGUAAAUGGUCGGGAUAGCUCAG